This 467-nucleotide ribosomal RNA is filed under the name uncultured bacterium. RNAcentral describes it as "bacterial SSU rRNA". It matches the Rfam family "Bacterial small subunit ribosomal RNA", at positions 30 to 516 of the family's 1533-position model. The record is from RNAcentral.
AUUGAACGCUGGCGGAAUGCUUUACACAUGCAAGUCGAACGGCAGCACGGACUUCGGUCUGGUGGCGAGUGGCGAACGGGUGAGUAAUAUAUCGGAACGUAUCCAAUAAUGGGGGAUAACUAAUCGAAAGGUUGGCUAAUACCGCAUACGCCCUACGGGGGAAAGCUAGGGACCUUCGGGCCGUGGCGUUAAUGGAGCGGCCGAUAUCUGAUUAGCUAGUUGGUGAGGUAAAGGCUCACCAAGGCGACGAUCAGUAGCUGGUCUGAGAGGACGACCAGCCACACUGGAACUGAGACACGGUCCAGACUCCUACGGGAGGCAGCAGUGGGGAAUUUUGGACAAUGGGCGCAAGCCUGAUCCAGCCAUUCCGCGUGAGUGAUGAAGGCCUUAGGUUGUAAGCUCUUUCACCCACGACGAUGAUGACGGUAGUGGGAGAAGAAGCCCCGGCUAACUUCGUGCCAGCAGCC